RNAcentral lists this ribosomal RNA (1515 nucleotides) under metagenome. RNAcentral describes it as "bacterial SSU rRNA". It matches the Rfam family "Bacterial small subunit ribosomal RNA". The record is from RNAcentral.
AGAGUUUGAUCCUGGCUCAGGACGAACGCUGGCGGCGUGCUUAACACAUGCAAGUCAAGGGGAAAGUCAUCUUCGGGUGAUAAGUAUACUGGCGAACGGGUGAGUAACGCGUAGGCAACCUGCCCCUGUGAGUGGGAUAACCUCGAGAAAUCGGGGCUAAUACCGCAUAAAUCAUAUUAAACGCAUGUUAGAUAUGUCAAAGGGUGCUUUUGUAUCGCACAGGGAUGGGCCUGCGUUCCAUUAGUUAGUUGGUGAGGUAAAGGCUCACCAAGGCGACGAUGGAUAGCUGGUUUGAGAGAGUGAUCAGCCACACUGGGACUGAGAUACGGCCCAGACUCCUACGGGAGGCAGCAGUGAGGAAUAUUGCGCAAUGGAGGAAACUCUGACGCAGCGACGCCGUGUGGGGGAUGAAGUUCUACGGAGUGUAAACCCCUGUAAGCAGGGACGAAUGGCUGUAUAUCGUAAGGUAUACGGAUUGACGGUACCUGCAGAGUAAGCUCCGGCUAACUCCGUGCCAGCAGCCGCGGUAAUACGGGGGGAGCAAGCGUUGUCCGGAAUUACUGGGCGUAAAGGGCGUGUAGGCGGAUUGGUCAGUCAGAUGUGAAAGCCCGCGGCUUAACCGUGGAAUUGCAUUUGAAACUUCCAGUCUUGAGUUCGAGAGAGGGUAGUGGAAUUCCCAGUGUAGCGGUGAAAUGCGUAGAUAUUGGGAAGAACACCAGUAGCGAAGGCGGCUACCUGGCUCGCAACUGUCGCUAAUGCGCGAAAGCGUGGGGAGCAAACAGGAUUAGAUACCCUGGUAGUCCACGCUGUAAACGAUGAACACUAGGUGUUGGUCUCGACACGUCGGGAUCGGUGCCGCAGCAAACGCAUUAAGUGUUCCGCCUGGGGAGUACGAUCGCAAGGUUGAAACUCAAAGGAAUUGACGGGGGCCCGCACAAGCGGUGGAGCAUGUGGUUUAAUUCGAUGCAACGCGAAGAACCUUACCGGGGUUUGACAUAUUAGUGAAGUAUGCAGAGAUGUAUACGCCUUUCGGGGCGCUAUUACAGGUGCUGCAUGGCUGUCGUCAGCUCGUGUCGUGAGAUGUUGGGUUAAGUCCCGCAACGAGCGCAACCCUUGCCCCUAGUUGCCAGCGGAUAACGCCGGGGACUCUAGGGGGACAGUCGGCGAUAAGCCGGAGGAAGGUGGGGAUGACGUCAAGUCCUCAUGGCCCUUACAUCCCGGGCUACACACGUGCUACAAUGGCUGGUACAACGAGUCGCGAUACUGCAAAGUGGAGCCAAUCUCUUAAAACCAGUCUCAGUUCGGAUUGCAGUCUGCAACUCGACUGCAUGAAGUCGGAAUCGCUAGUAAUCGCGGAUCAGCACGCCGCGGUGAGUACGUUCCCGGGCCUUGUACACGCCGCCCGUCACGCCAUGGGAGUCGGCAGUACCCGAAGCCGAUGGCCUAAUCCCGGUUUACCGGGAAAGGAAUCGUCGAAGGUAAGGCCGGUGACUGGGGCGAAGUCGUAACAAGGUA